GUUUUCACUUUGCUCAUCCCAAUCCCCUUGUCUCCUAAGUGGAGAACUUCUUUUAAGAGCUUACCAUAGGAAUGAAGGCUGGCAGAGGAGUAAACUGAACAAGGAUGGCUGUCCAGGAGAAGAUCAGAGUCCUGGGAUAUGGAAGGUAGUAGAAGUGUUUGGUUUCCUGGAGGAGUUGCUUAUAAGGUGCUUAUGAGG
RNAcentral lists this long non-coding RNA (198 nucleotides) under Mustela putorius furo (domestic ferret). RNAcentral's name for it is "lncRNA (ENSMPUG00000024789.1)". Lineage: Eukaryota; Metazoa; Chordata; Mammalia; Carnivora; Mustelidae. The record is from RNAcentral.